This is a long non-coding RNA of Corythoichthys intestinalis (scribbled pipefish), 2837 nucleotides long. RefSeq lists it as uncharacterized. The transcript is spliced from 2 exons. NCBI's taxonomy places the organism in Eukaryota, Metazoa, Chordata, Actinopteri, Syngnathiformes, Syngnathidae. The record is from RefSeq and is a predicted model, not a curated record.
CAUGAACAUCCGCAGCCAGUCGUCCCAUUUGUUUUUUCUAGCUAGACGCGAGACAUUUGUUAAAAAAGGGCAGAAAUGAAAAGAUAAGCCCACUUCGACUGUGAACAUUGGCUUUUGUUCGGCAAAUAAAGUACUGGCUCAUUUGAAGGAAACGUGCCAUUUUGUCCUCAGGAACGAUGUCCCAUCACUCAAAUCAAAGCAAUCAAAGCUUAAGUUUUGACAUCAUCAAGCGACUGUGAAGUGAAGCGUUAGUCCAUUGUUUCAGUUCUUCCCUCCUCCAUAAAGUCAUCAUAAUUACAUUCUCAGAGAGGAGUUGGAAUCCUUGCCCAGAUAUGCAGAAGGACCAUUGAAUGCCACGCGAAUGGAUGUCUAGCAUCAACAGCAGCGCCGACUGACCUGCAUCCAGGCAUGCUGGAGCGCCUCGUCGAUGCUCAUGCGCUGGGCGGGGUCCACCACCAGAAGUUUCCUCACCACCUCCUUGGCUGUAACACACACGGAGGCAGAUGUGAACCAGUGAGCGGCGAGAAGAGGAGGACGGCAAAGGCAAAAACGACGAUGUCACCCUGCUCGGACACGUGGCGCCACUUAGCUGGCAACAUCGUGAAGCUGCCUCGGAUGAUCUGCUCGCUCACCGACAGCUCGUGGAAGUUCUCGUGGAAUGGCGGGUAUCCGCACAAGCUGCAUAUAAACACACAAGGCAUCGGAUGUGAUGCGUCCGUCCCGUUUCCACUGAGCCAGCUCGUCUUACCAAACAAAGAGGAGCACGCCGAGGCUCCAGGCGUCAACAGCUAGGCCGUAGCCACCCCCGCCGCCUGCAGCGUACGUCAAGACUUCGGGCGCCAGGUAGGACGGUGUCCCGCACAGUGUCCUCAUCAAGGCCGCCUCCUCCACGAUCCUUGACUGGUUGAAAUCGGUGACCUGGAGAACACACGCGGUAGUGUUGCACCAAUACUAGUAUACUAGAUACUAGUAUCAGUACCGAUACGGCCCUAAAAUGACGCCACUGACAUCUGCAAGUACUAAGAAAUAACGAGCUGAUAAUACACAAAACUUUGCCAGAUGUAAUUUCCAAUCGCCCGACCAAAGAUGGCCGCCAGCUUCUAAAAAUCUCGACAAGGGUUUGCUUUGUAAAAAAAAAAAAAACAUGUUACAGUAGCUAUGAAUGCAUAAAAAUGAAAUUAUUUUAUUGCAGCUAUGACGUUUAAAAAAAAAAAAAAAAAAAAAAAGGUUGAAUAUUAAGCAAAUUAUAGUUAUUUCAAAGUACAUGCCAUUUAUCCAUUGGCACUGUCACAAAAUGGCCGACAAGUUAUAACAGCUGUACCCGUUGGCUCUCAGCACACUGGAAGAGAACCCAAAAUUACUCAAAAUGAACAGGGGUGACUUAAGAAUGUCCCUAAAAUCUACAGGAAUUGAUCUGAUUCAACAUGAUCUAGAAAUUAAUCAGGAAGUGACUUAUAAUUGCGCCAAAAUUGAAUGGCACUGUCACAAAAUGUCCGUUCCUAUUGGUUAUCAGCGCGUUGGAAGAGAAGCCAAAAUGCCCCAAAUAUAGGUAGUGAUUUGGCAUUGUGACUAAAUCUAUCAGAUAUCAACAGGAAGUGACGUAGAAAUGACCCAAAAUCAAUAGGAGUGAAUCCUGAUUGCUCCCAACAUCAAAUGGCACUGACAAAAAAAUGGCCGACAAGUGAUAACAGCCGUCCCAGUUGGCUUAUAGUACGCUGGAGGAGAAUCCGAAAUGCCCCAAAAAAUUAACAGUAAGUGACUUGGGAUUGCCCCAACAUCAGCAGGAAGUGAUCCCAACUCAAAUGGCCCUGACACAAAAUGGCAGACAUCGUGAUUGGCUCAUAAUGCACAUUACACCUGCCUGGAAGUGAACCUGAAAUGAAGAGUAGGUGUCUUGGAAUGAACCUUAAAGUGCGUAUGACACCAAAAAGCAUGUUUAUUUCAUAUUUCACACGGUGUUUUAUGCUCCUGAAUGAAAUGGACCGCUUGGAUGUGUGUGGAGGCGAUCAUUUUAUAUAUUCAAUUUUUGAAUCCUACGGCAUGAAAAUGAGUGACUUCCGGCUUCAGUCUCGGAUUUAGGACGAAUGCGAAUGUGACGUCACCCGGUUCAGCAUCUCACAAUAUAGCAUUGCGUUAUAGCAUGGAGAUAGACUGCCGAUUCAGCUGAUUUUGCGGAUUAAUUGGUUUUUUUUUUUCGCAUCACGCCAUGUGACGGCCCUGGCCGUUUAACUGUUGUUUUAUUUUGAGAAGCCUCCAGUCAGCUGAUAGUCACCUCCGCCAGCUGGCUGCCUCCCCUCCCACUGUGACGUAAGCUGAUUGAUGCUGGACGGACAGACGACGUCGAUGCCGCUGAUUGGCCACGACGAAAAGGCGGCAAGCUUCAUAAACCUGCCGCUGUCAACGCUCUGGGAGGUCGCAUUUGACAGCAUUCGUGCCGCGGUCCUCCUUGCCAGCUGUUUGCUCGCCAUUCACUCUCGUGUGCGUUUGAUCGCUAGUUUGAUACAUUCCCGCUUUUUCCGUGAGGUCUUUUGUGUUUAUUCAUUAUUGGAUCGUUUUGUUCACCACUGUAAAUAAGAGCACUGGAGCAGUAGGGGUAAGCCGCCAUUUCUGUUCAACCUGUUUCCUCCUGUUUUGUUUAGAGUAGGAAGCUAAGGUAGUGGCUGUCUUUUUGUUCUUUCCUUUUUACGAUCAGGGUUUAGUUAGCGGGUGGGGUUUAAGUGUAGUUCCUUUUGUUUGUUGUUUUGGCCUGGGCUUACCCUGAAGCCGCGCUUCUUCCGCAUUUUGUAUAUAUUCAUUGCGAGUUUGAUUGUUGUGAAUAAAUUGUGUCCACUUGUAAA